RNAcentral lists this unclassified non-coding RNA (2068 nucleotides) under uncultured fungus. Its description in RNAcentral is "sequence contains 18S rRNA gene, ITS1, 5.8S rRNA gene, ITS2, 28S rRNA gene". The stretch from base 950 to 2068 matches the Rfam family "Eukaryotic large subunit ribosomal RNA", at positions 1 to 961 of the family's 3401-position model. The record is from RNAcentral. Lineage: Eukaryota; Fungi.
GGAGGGAUCAUUAACACGUAUCCAAACGUUAUAAACCCAAACCGUGCUCUUUUUCUUUUGUGUUUUACACAAGUCCUAUAGAGAUAGGUGAUUCGUAAGUCAUAGAUGGAAUUCUUCUAUGGAAACAUAGAGGUCUACUUACAAUCUAUCGGUCAUAAGACCAACUGAAUUUCUAUAGUGUAUACAAGCCAUCUGGUUAUAUGUGCCACCCCGGUCUCGACCCGGAGCCGUAUAGCCUUAGUAAACCCCCAACCUUUUUUUACCCCUUUCAAUAUAAACAACUGACUUAACUUUUCUGAAUUGUAAUGAUUUAGAAAGUAUACGAAACGCGAACAACUCUUAGCAAUGGAUAUCUUGGUUCUCGUACCGAUGAAGAACGCAGCGAAAUGCGAUACGUAAUGCGAAUUGCAGAAUUCAGUGAAUCAUCAAAUCUUUGAACGCAAAUUGCGCUCUCGGGAUAGCCCUGGGAGCAUGCCUCUCUGAGUAUCGGUUUCAAAUCAUAUCGUCAGCAUACUUUUGAUAAAAGAGUAUACUGUGCGGAAAAUGAGUGUCUCGAUUUCUGAACAAAUUGAGUCGCUUGAAAAAUAUACGAAGUUUCAGAACUCCCUAGUAGUAGCCUAACUCCUGUUUGGAUUCGUUCAAACAUAGCUCUUAUAUGCUUCAUUGGUCUAUUGAUAUAAUACAAUGACAUGAUAAGGGAUUAUAAGAAUAGUUGGCUUAGUUACUGGUGACGUGGAUAGAAUACCUUCGGGUGUUUCAAAACGUCAAUGCCUUUAAUUGAGUCCAUGCUUUCAUAUGAUCCUUCUUAUUAUAUUGUUCAGCCUAACGUAUUACAUAUGUAUGGGCCUGUUGAAUAGUAUAAGAGUGAAAGGUUAGUGUCUAAUAUGUGGUUGAGCCGCUGUUAAAUUUCCGAGGAAAUCACCUUCACUUGGUAACAAGUGAUUGACUUAGAUCUCAGAUGAAGCAAGAGGACCCCCUGAAUUUAAGCAUAUUAUUAAGGGGAGGAAAAGAAACUAACAAGGAUUCCCCUAGUAACGGCGAGUGAAGCGGGAAGAGCUCAAAUUGAAAAUCGGCAACCCAUGCGGGUUGUCGAAUUGUAGCCUAGAGACGUAUUGUCAGCGUGUGGCCCAGGUAUAAAUCUUUUGAAACAAGGUAUCACAGAGGGUGAGAAUCCCGUCUUUGACCUGGAGAUCGCCGCGUACGACAUACGUUCAUAGAGUCGAGUUGCUUGGGAAUGCAGCUCUAAAUGGGUGGUAAAUUUCAUCUAAAGCUAAAUAUCGACGAGAGACCGAUAGCGAACAAGUACCGUGAGGGAAAGAUGAAAAGAACUUUGAAAAGAGAGUUAAAAAGUACUUGAAAUUGUUAAGAGGGAAGCGCUGGAAACCAGUCAUUAUCUAUAUCUAUCUUUACUAUUUGCUGUCGAAGAAGUAUUUAGAUCAGAGCGUAAGCCUGGUUUGGGUCUUGGACGAACGGUGAGUGGGUCCUGUAGAUGUAGAUGGGUCAGAAUCAAUUCGAUUCGCGGGUGAAGGCUAUGGGAAAGGUAGGAUCUCCGGAUCUGUUAUAGUCCUAUAGCCCUACCGUGGGUUGGAUUGAGGAUGUUUAAUGUGCGCCGCAAGGUUUCGGUUGCCUAUUUCUGCUGGGUUAGUUGCUUUGGAGAACAUUGUUCUGCGGGUGACGAAGCUUGGUACUAAGUGGGACAAUCAGAUGCACAUUCGCGAUUCUGACGAAAUGGUUUUCAUCGACCCGUCUUGAAACACGGACCAAGGAGUCUAACAUGUAUGCGAGUAUUUGGGUGGUAAACCCUGAUGCGUAAUGAAAGUAAAGGCAGUUUCGGCUGCUGAGGUAGGAAUCCGGGCAACUGGAGGCACUAUCGACUGAUCGUCACUUGUGAUAGAUUUGAGUAAGAGCAUAUCUGUUGGGACCCGAAAGAUGGUGAUCUAUGCCUGAACAGGGUGAAGCCAGGGGAAACUCUGGUGGAGGCUCGUAGCGAUACUGACGUGCAAAUCGUUCGUCUGAUUUGGGUAUAGGGGCGAAAGACUAAUCGAACCAUCUAGUAGCUGGUUCCCUC